GACGAACGCUGGCGGCGUGCUUAACACAUGCAAGUCGAACGGAAAGGCCCUGCUUUUGUGGGGUGCUCGAGUGGCGAACGGGUGAGUAACACGUGAGUAACCUGCCCUUGACUUUGGGAUAACUUCAGGAAACUGGGGCUAAUACCGGAGAGGAGCUCCUGCUGCAUGGGGGGGGUUGGAAAGUUUCGGCGGUUGGGGAUGGACUCGCGGCUUAUCAGCUUGUUGGUGGGGUAGUGGCUUACCAAGGCUUUGACGGGUAGCCGGCCUGAGAGGGUGACCGGCCACAUUGGGACUGAGAUACGGCCCAGACUCCUACGGGAGGCAGCAGUGGGGAAUAUUGCACAAUGGGCGGAAGCCUGAUGCAGCAACGCCGCGUGCGGGAUGACGGCCUUCGGGUUGUAAACCGCUUUCGCCUGUGACGAAGCGUGAGUGACGGUAAUGGGUAAAGAAGCACCGGCUAACUACGUG
This 468-nucleotide ribosomal RNA is filed under the name uncultured bacterium. RNAcentral's name for it is "partial 16S ribosomal RNA". It matches the Rfam family "Bacterial small subunit ribosomal RNA", at positions 28 to 507 of the family's 1533-position model. The record is from RNAcentral.